Molecule: non-coding RNA, 45 nt
Filed under: Trichobilharzia regenti
Lineage: Eukaryota; Metazoa; Platyhelminthes; Trematoda; Strigeidida; Schistosomatidae
Source: RNAcentral
AUCCAGAUGACGAGUUCCAAAUAGGACGAAAUUCACAUCCUGGAU